RNAcentral lists this ribosomal RNA (254 nucleotides) under uncultured bacterium. Its description in RNAcentral is "partial 16S ribosomal RNA". It matches the Rfam family "Bacterial small subunit ribosomal RNA", at positions 524 to 776 of the family's 1533-position model. The record is from RNAcentral.
UACGUAGGGGGCGAGCGUUGUCCGGAUUCAUUGGGCGUAAAGAGCUCGUAGGCGGUUCGGUUAGUCAGAUGUGAAAACUCCGGGCUCAACUCGGAGAGGCCAUCUGAUACUGCCGUGACUGGAGUUCGGUAGAGGAGUGUGGGAUUCCCGGUGUAGCGGUGAAAUGCGCAGAUAUCGGGAGGAACACCAGCGGCGAAGGCGGCACUCUGGGCCGAUACUGACGCUGAGGAGCGAAAGCGUGGGGAGCGAACAGG